This 271-nucleotide ribosomal RNA is filed under the name uncultured bacterium. RNAcentral describes it as "partial 16S ribosomal RNA". It matches the Rfam family "Bacterial small subunit ribosomal RNA", at positions 524 to 794 of the family's 1533-position model. The record is from RNAcentral.
UACGUAGGGUGCAAGCGUUAAUCGGAAUUACUGGGCGUAAAGCGUGCGCAGGCGGUUUUGUAAGCCAGAUGUGAAAGCCCCGGGCUCAACCUGGGAGCGGCAUUCGAUACUGGCAAACUGGAGUACGAGAGAGGGGGGUGGAAUUCCAGGUGUAGCGGUGAAAUGCGUAGAUAUCUGGAGGAACACCGGUGGCGAAGGCGGCCCCCUGGCUCGAUACUGACACCGAGGUGCGAAAGCGUGGGGAGCAAACAGGAUUAGAAACCCGUGUAGU